CAUGUGUGGAGAUCUUCACUGAAACUUUGAUUUCUAAAGGAAGAAGCUUCAUGCGGCAGCUGUAACCGUAAACUGGAAUUUUGUUUAGAAGAAGACAAAACACCUGCCUACCAUCUCAUUAAGACUUUAAUAUCACUCCAGAUAACACACUGGACAAACCAAGAAAUAUCUUGUUUCACUAAAGGAGAGUAUUCAGACUGCGGAGCAGAUUCAUAACUGUGCCUUUUAAAUUGGAUCAGAAAUGUCUGAUUCACCCCAAACUCAAAUAAUGAUGGAUGAAGAGGUCCCACUGAAUACCAUUCCAGGAUCAGGUGACACAAAAAAUAAUAACAUUUGCAAUCAAGUAAUCAGCUCCAAUGGACGGACUGCUGCCUCCUGCUGCGAUGAUAAGUACCACAGGAAACUAGCCAUCUGCAGCAUCAUCUGUGGGAUCUCCUGCAUUGGAAUCAAGUCUCUGAUCAAUUCAGUCAAGGCUGAGAAGACGACAGAUCUAGAGGAAGCUGCAAAGUUUUCACAACGGGCAAAAGAAUUUGGCAUCAUCUCCAUCGUGACAUGGGUUGUCAUUUUGGCUUUAAUUCCCAUACUAAUGGCAGUGAUCUCCUAUCUUCUCACUCUGCAAGACUGACCAUCUUCGAUGAAACCUUUACAGAAGAUAACCCGCCGAGUGGCUCUUCUGAUUUUGGAUUUUGACAAGGACAGACAGCGGACAGUACAAAGCUGCUUAUUAACUUCUAAAAGCCAUGAAGAUACGAACAAACUGGUAGUUACACAAAACACAAAAAGACUGCCUUACUCUUUCUUGUGCUUAUAAAAUGACCUGUCCUAGUUUACACAUUUCUACCUAUUAGCCUUUUGCAUUUUUUAAAACUUUUUUACACAAAGAACAACCACUUAAAAAAACAUUUACAUGUUUGUUUUUUUAUUUACACUGUAUUAUGCAUUUAAUGUAUGAACAUAUAAACGAUUCAAAAUCUAAAGGACAUAUAAAAUCCAGCAUUAACUAUAGUUUGAGACACGACAGCACAUGACGCAUUUACAUCAUAUAUUAAAGAUUAGAACUGUCACUGCCUGGUAACGACUCAAUCCUUAAUAUUUUUGCACCCUAAAUGUCACUACCAUUUAAAAUUUACCAUUCUUAGAUACUGUAUAUACUUGCAGAUACUACAAAAGUUACUUUAACUGUCACUCUAUAUAGUAGUAACAUUACCUUUUUCAUUAAGGAUUAGGUCAUUACUGGAAAUACAAUGGCAUGGCAGUGAUUCAUCAGAACAGGAGAUCCUGCUCUUGUUGUUAACAUCAUCUUGGCAUUAUUGCAUUGUUACCAUAUUUACUUUAUUAAUGUAUCAAUGUUGUACUUUUAUACACGCAUACAAACAAAAGAAAUUCAUAAUAAAAACGGCAAACGUG
Long non-coding RNA from Micropterus salmoides (largemouth bass), 1407 nucleotides. RefSeq lists it as uncharacterized. The transcript has 3 exons. The record is from RefSeq and is a predicted model, not a curated record. NCBI's taxonomy places the organism in Eukaryota, Metazoa, Chordata, Actinopteri, Centrarchiformes, Centrarchidae.